RNAcentral lists this ribosomal RNA (253 nucleotides) under uncultured bacterium. Its description in RNAcentral is "partial 16S ribosomal RNA". It matches the Rfam family "Bacterial small subunit ribosomal RNA", at positions 524 to 776 of the family's 1533-position model. The record is from RNAcentral.
UACGUAGGGGGCAAGCGUUGUCCGGAAUUAUUGGGCGUAAAGAGCGUGUAGGCGGUUGUCCAAGUUGGAUGUGAAAGCCUUGAGCUUAACUCAAGAAAUGCAUUCAGGACUGGAUGACUAGAGGACCGGAGAGGAUAGUGGAAUUCCCAGUGUAGUGGUGAAAUACGUAGAGAUUGGGAAGAACACCAGUGGCGAAGGCGGCUAUCUGGACGGUUUCUGACGCUAAGACGCGAAAGCGUGGGGAUCAAACAGG